UACGUAGGGGGCAAGCGUUGUCCGGAAUCAUUGGGCGUAAAGAGCGCGUAGGCGGUCCGGUAAGUCGGUUGUGAAAACUGGGGGCUCAACCCUCAGAGGCCGACCGAUACUGCCGGGCUAGAGUCCGGAAGAGGCGAGUGGAAUUCCUGGUGUAGCGGUGAAAUGCGCAGAUAUCAGGAGGAACACCAAUGGCGAAGGCAGCUCGCUGGGACGGUACUGACGCUGAGGCGCGAAAGCGUGGGGAGCAAACAGGAUUAGAUACCCUGGUAGUCCACGCCGUAAACGAUGGGCACUAGGUGUGGGAGGUGUCGACUCCUCCCGUGCCGAAGCUAACGCAUUAAGUGCCCCGCCUGGGGAGUACGGCCGCAAGGCUAAA
RNAcentral lists this ribosomal RNA (376 nucleotides) under uncultured bacterium. Its description in RNAcentral is "bacterial SSU rRNA". It matches the Rfam family "Bacterial small subunit ribosomal RNA", at positions 524 to 898 of the family's 1533-position model. The record is from RNAcentral.